AGAGUUUGAUCAUGGCUCAGGAUGAACGCUAGCGGCAGGCUUAACACAUGCAAGUCGAGGGGUAUUGUUCUUCGGAAUGAGAGACCGGCGCACGGGUGCGUAACGCGUAUGCAAUCUACCUUUCACAGAGGGAUAGCCCAGAGAAAUUUGGAUUAAUACCUCAUAGUAUUGCGGAAUGGCAUCAUUCUGUAAUUAAAGUCACAACGGUGAAAGAUGAGCAUGCGUCCCAUUAGCUAGUUGGUAAGGUAACGGCUUACCAAGGCUACGAUGGGUAGGGGUCCUGAGAGGGAGAUCCCCCACACUGGUACUGAGACACGGACCAGACUCCUACGGGAGGCAGCAGUGAGGAAUAUUGGACAAUGGGCGCAAGCCUGAUCCAGCCAUGCCGCGUGCAGGAUGACGGUCCUAUGGAUUGUAAACUGCUUUUGCACAGGAAGAAACAACAUUACGUGUAAUGUCUUGACGGUACUGUGAGAAUAAGGAUCGGCUAACUCCGUGCCAGCAGCCGCGGUAAUACGGAGGAUCCAAGCGUUAUCCGGAAUCAUUGGGUUUAAAGGGUCCGUAGGCGGUUUGGUAAGUCAGUGGUGAAAGCCCAUCGCUCAACGGUGGAACGGCCAUUGAUACUGCCAGACUUGAAUUAUUAGGAAGUAACUAGAAUAUGUAGUGUAGCGGUGAAAUGCUUAGAGAUUACAUGGAAUACCAAUUGCGAAGGCAGGUUACUACUAAUGGAUUGACGCUGAUGGACGAAAGCGUGGGUAGCGAACAGGAUUAGAUACCCUGGUAGUCCACGCCGUAAACGAUGGAUACUAGCUGUUGGGAGCAAUCUCAGUGGCUAAGCGAAAGUGAUAAGUAUCCCACCUGGGGAGUACGUUCGCAAGAAUGAAACUCAAAGGAAUUGACGGGGGCCCGCACAAGCGGUGGAGCAUGUGGUUUAAUUCGAUGAUACGCGAGGAACCUUACCAAGGCUUAAAUGUAGAUUGACCGGUUUGGAAACAGACUUUUCGCAAGACAAUUUACAAGGUGCUGCAUGGUUGUCGUCAGCUCGUGCCGUGAGGUGUCAGGUUAAGUCCUAUAACGAGCGCAACCCCUGUUGUUAGUUGCCAGCGAGUCAAGUCGGGAACUCUAACAAGACUGCCAGUGCAAACUGUGAGGAAGGUGGGGAUGACGUCAAAUCAUCACGGCCCUUACGCCUUGGGCUACACACGUGCUACAAUGGCCGGUACAGAGAGCAGCCACUGGGCGACCAGGAGCGAAUCUAUAAAACCGGUCACAGUUCGGAUCGGAGUCUGCGACUCGACUCCGUGAAGCUGGAAUCGCUAGUAAUCGGAUAUCAGCCAUGAUCCGGUGAAUACGUUCCCGGGCCUUGUACACACCGCCCGUCAAGCCAUGGAAGCUGGGGGUGCCUGAAGUCGGUGACCGCAAGGAGCUGCCUAGGGUAAAACUGGUAACUAGGGCUAAGUCGUAACAAGGUA
Molecule: ribosomal RNA, 1472 nt
Filed under: uncultured bacterium
Lineage: Bacteria
Description: bacterial SSU rRNA
Rfam family: Bacterial small subunit ribosomal RNA
Source: RNAcentral